Ribosomal RNA from Pteropus vampyrus (large flying fox), 133 nucleotides. The record is from Ensembl. NCBI's taxonomy places the organism in Eukaryota, Metazoa, Chordata, Mammalia, Chiroptera, Pteropodidae.
UCUUACAACAUGAUAUUACCCAAUUUUUAAAAAAUAUUUCUCCUGAUCCUAUCAGAUCUCAGAAGGUAAGCAGGGUCAGGCCUGGUUAGUACUUAGGUGGGAGACCACAUAGGAAGACCAGGUGCUGUAAGUG